AACCUCAUCCGAUCUGCACAAACAUGGAGAGAUAUGGGUAGUUCCCAAUACGGAUCACGUGUGUACAAGAUUUUUCUUUGUUUAUGAAGAUGGUCAAGUGGGUGAUACAAGUAUAAAUACACAGGAACCAAGCAUUCAUAAAGAGAUUCUUCGAGUCAUUGGCAAUCAAACUGCUACUGGUUAAAAGGACCACUCUUAUUUAAUUGAUGUGAUUUGGAAGCCUUCCUCAGUCUCAAAGCUGGAUUUUGAACUGAAGAAGAUGCAAAAAACUAAUUUAUUAUUGUUAUUCUAAGCAAAUUAACCCUUUGAAUACUUACUGUUUUCUUACUUAGUAUUUCUUAUCUCAUCAAAAUACCUGAGAUGGUAUGAAUUAGCAACUGUAGGGGUGCAAAGUCUAUUAAUAUACUACAACUAAUAAUAAUUAAACAGGCAUUUGGGUUGCUCACAAUAAACAGACUUUAAAAAGGAGUUUUGUGCUGAUAUUUUUAUAUUAAACUUCAAUUUGAGGUUUUAGUACUGUAUACUGGUAUUUUAAAUUUAGAAUGACUGAAUUAUAAGCAAGAGAGAAGAUUUUAUAGCGGAGCACCUGUAUUAUGCAGGAUACUUUGCAAUAAGUAAAAUAUUCUCGUAUUUAAACACAAUAAAAGGUUGUCUGGAACAUGUCAAAUUAAAGAGAUUGGUUACCU
This is a long non-coding RNA of Aptenodytes forsteri (emperor penguin), 686 nucleotides long. RefSeq lists it as uncharacterized. Lineage: Eukaryota; Metazoa; Chordata; Aves; Sphenisciformes; Spheniscidae. The record is from RefSeq and is a predicted model, not a curated record. The transcript is spliced from 2 exons.